Molecule: ribosomal RNA, 729 nt
Filed under: uncultured eukaryote
Lineage: Eukaryota
Description: SSU rRNA
Rfam family: Eukaryotic small subunit ribosomal RNA
Source: RNAcentral
CGGGUGCACUGAUCCAGCCGGGCCUUUCCCUCUGUGGAACCCCAUGGCCUUCACUGGCUGUGGUGGGGAAACAGGACUUUUACUUUGAAAAAAUUAGAGUGCUCCAGGCAGGCCUAUGCUCGAAUACAUUAGCAUGGAAUAAUAGAAUAGGACGUGUGGUUCUAUUUUGUUGGUUUCUAGGACCGCCGUAAUGAUUAAUAGGGACAGUCGGGGGCAUCAGUAUUCAAUUGUCAGAGGUGAAAUUCUUGGAUCUAUUGAAGACUAACUACUGCGAAAGCAUUUGCCAAGGAUGUUUUCAUUGAUAAGGAACGAAAGUUAGGGGAUCGAAGACGAUCAGAUACCGUCGUAGUCUUAACUAUAAACUAUGCCGACUAGGGAUCGGACGAUGUUAUUCUUUGACGCGUUCGGCACCUUUCGAGAAAUCAAAGUGCUUGGGCUCCAGGGGGAGUAUGGUCGCAAGGCUGAAACUUAAAGAAAUUGACGGAAGGGCACCACCAGGGGUGGAACCUGCGGCUUAAUUUGACUCAACACGGGGAAACUCACCAGGUCCAGACACAGUGAGGAUUGACAGAUUGAGAGCUCUUUCUUGAUUCUGUGGGUGGUGGUGCAUGGCCGUUCUUAGUUGGUGGAGUGAUUUGUCUGCUUAAUUGCGAUAACGAACGGGACCUUAACCUGCUAAAUAGCCCGUACUGCUUUGGCAGUUCGCCGGCUUCUUAGAGGGACUAUCGG